GAUGAACGCUGGCGGCGUGCCUAAUACAUGCAAGUCGAGCGAACAGACGAGGAGCUUGCUCCUCUGACGUUAGCGGCGGACGGGUGAGUAACACGUGGAUAACCUACCUAUAAGACUGGGAUAACUUCGGGAAACCGGAGCUAAUACCGGAUAAUAUAUUGAACCGCAUGGUUCAAUAGUGAAAGACGGUUUUGCUGCCACUUAUAGAUGGAUCCGCGCCGCAUUAGCUAGUUGGUAAGGUAACGGCUUACCAAGGCAACGAUGCGUAGCCGACCUGAGAGGGUGAUCGGCCACACGGGAACUGAGACGCGGUCCAGACUCCUACGGGAGGCAGCAGUAGAGAAUCUUCCGCAAUGGACGAAAGCCUGACGGAGCAACGCCGCGUGAGUGAUGAAGGUCUUCGGAUCGUAAAACGCUGAUAUUAGGGAAGAACAAAUGUGUAAGUAACUAUGCUCGUCUUGACGGUACCGAAUCAGAAAGCCACGGCUAACUACGUG
RNAcentral lists this ribosomal RNA (497 nucleotides) under uncultured bacterium. Its description in RNAcentral is "partial 16S ribosomal RNA". It matches the Rfam family "Bacterial small subunit ribosomal RNA", at positions 28 to 507 of the family's 1533-position model. The record is from RNAcentral.